This 253-nucleotide ribosomal RNA is filed under the name uncultured bacterium. Its description in RNAcentral is "partial 16S ribosomal RNA". It matches the Rfam family "Bacterial small subunit ribosomal RNA", at positions 524 to 776 of the family's 1533-position model. The record is from RNAcentral.
UACAGAGGUCCCAAGCGUUGUUCGGAUUCACUGGGCGUAAAGGGUGCGUAGGUGGUGAGGUAAGUCGGAUGUGAAAUCUCCGGGCUCAACCCGGAAAUGGCAUUGGAAACUACCUUGCUUGAGGAUUUGAGGGGGGAUUGGAAUACUUGGUGUAGCAGUGAAAUGCGUAGAUAUCAAGUGGAACACCAGUGGCGAAGGCGAAUCCCUGGAAAAUACCUGACACUGAGGCACGAAAGCUAGGGGAGCAAAUGGG